This 468-nucleotide ribosomal RNA is filed under the name uncultured bacterium. RNAcentral's name for it is "partial 16S ribosomal RNA". It matches the Rfam family "Bacterial small subunit ribosomal RNA", at positions 28 to 507 of the family's 1533-position model. The record is from RNAcentral.
GACGAACGCUGGCGGCGUGCUUAACACAUGCAAGUCGAACGGAAAGGCCCUGCUUUUGUGGGGUGCUCGAGUGGCGAACGGGUGAGUAACACAUGAGUAACCUGCCCUUGACUUUGUGAUAACUUCAGGAAACUGGGGCUAAUACCGGAUAGGAGCUCCUGCUGCAUGGUGGGGGUUGGAAAGUUUCGGCGGUUGGGGAUGGACUCGCGGCUUAUCAGCUUGUUGGUGGGGUAGUGGCUUACCAAGGCUUUGACGGGUAGCCGGCCUGAGAGGGUGACCGGCCACAUUGGGACUGAGAUACGGCCCAGACUGCUACGGGAGGCAGCAGUGGGGAAUAUGGCACAAUGGGCGGAAGCCUGAGGCAGAAACGCCGCGAGCGGGAUGACGGCCUUCGGGUUGUAAACCGCUUUCGCCUGUGACGAAGCGGGAGUGACGGUAAUGGGUAAAGAAGCACCGGCUAACUACGUG